AUGGAGCAACUGGAUGAUCAUGGGAAAAUUGAAGGUAAUACCUCUAAGGAGGAGGGGAAAACUAUGUUAACUAUCUCCCAUACCUCCCAUGAGUUUAUGGAAGACUUGAAGGAGACAGAUUUAUGUGCUGCACUUGUUGUAAAAGGAGAAGAGCACCUGACUGUUGAAAUUCCAGCAAAGGUAAGUGGUUUAUUGGCAGAAUUUCAGAACAUACUUGGAGAGCCACAUAGAAUUGACUUAAUUCUGGGAGCAAGUCUUCCUGAUCUUUCACACUGUCGAAUAAGCCCAAAAGAGCAUGAUAUAUUGAAGGAGAAAGUGGAGGAAUUGCUGCAAAAGGGGCACAUUCGAGAAAGUAUUAACCCAUGUGCUGUACCAGCCCUGCUCGCGCCAAAGAAAGAUGGGUCUUGGCGCAUGUGUAUGGACAGUAGAGCCAUUAACAAGAUCACUGUAAGACCCGGGGAUGAAUGGAAAACAGCUUUCAAGACAAAGGAAGGGUUGUUUGAGUGGCUAGUCAUGCCAUUUGGACUCUUAAAUGCACCAAGUACCUUUAUGCACUUGAUGAAUCAAGUAUUUCGACCCUUAUUCCACGUUGUGGUCUAUUUCGAUGACAUAUUGAUCUAUAAGAAGGAUGAGGAUGAACACUUUGAUCACAUUCGGAAGGUGCUAGAAGUACCGAGGAAAAAUGAGCUCUACGUCAACUUGAAGAAAUGUGUUUUCCUACAAACACCUUCUUUUCCUAGGAUUCUUUAUAACAUGUGA
This 759-nucleotide ribosomal RNA is filed under the name Triticum aestivum (bread wheat). Its description in RNAcentral is "partial small subunit ribosomal RNA". Lineage: Eukaryota; Viridiplantae; Streptophyta; Magnoliopsida; Poales; Poaceae. The record is from RNAcentral.